Eucalyptus grandis is the source of this 1508-nucleotide RNA transcript. RefSeq lists it as uncharacterized. The transcript is spliced from 4 exons. Lineage: Eukaryota; Viridiplantae; Streptophyta; Magnoliopsida; Myrtales; Myrtaceae. The record is from RefSeq and is a predicted model, not a curated record.
ACAAACGAACUCGAAGCUGCACGCUCUGCUUCACCAGGUAACAGAGCAACAACUCUCCCCGCCACAACGGCGAGCGUCAAAUCUCAGCAACGGGUUGUUCUGCUAUGCGGAGACUAGAUGGAGGACUACGAGGUGGGUUCAUCGUAUCAUCGAUCACCUUCGCCGUCCUGUUCAUUUGGUCUCGAAUGGAUGAUGCAUCCUCGGGCUUGGUGGAAUGAAAAGAGGGCGGUUUCUUUUGUGUCCGAAUGCGGGUGAUGGUUCCGUUUGUCCUGGAAAGAAAGCCUGCGAUGUCUGCCGCUCCACCGUUCGCCAGAUGGGUGCUCACCAGGGCUUGUAGAGUACCUUGAUUUGGUUGGGCGGUCCCAUUUUCACGAAGGGUCAAAUUAGUGGAACUCGAAGAUAUGUGGCAGAAGAUCUGAAUUUAGUCAUCUUGUGUGUGAUUGGAAAUAGGUUCGUGACAGCAAUGAAGGGAUGCCUCGGGGAAGGACAAAAGGAUUAGAUGGAAGAUUAUGAGGUAAACGUACCAUUUUUCAGUCUCUUCAAGCUGUAGAGGGCCAUGUUGAUGCGGUCUGCCCCCGGAAGAAGAUUGGUAACACUUACCCAACUGCAGUUUGUGGUUUUGAAGGUGACAAGACUUACAGCUAGAAAGCUGGCCAUGAUUUUACUCUUACAGCUAGACUCUGAAGGUUUAGAUGCCUCCAGUUGUGAUGCCCUUGUCAUCCCCGGAGGUCCUGCACCACAGUAGUCGGCCUUUGAUGGGAAGGUGAUUGCUCUAGUUAAGGAUUUCAUCGAGGCCAAGAAGCCAGUUGCCUCCAUUUGCCAAGGGCAGCAGAUUCUAUCUGCUGCUGGUGUUCUCAAGGUGGUUUCUUAAUAUUAAUAAUGGGACAAAACUGUCGACUAACAUGUUAUCAGGGGAGAAUGGCAUGGCAUAUCCUUCUGUGAAGCUCAACGUGGUGUUGUAAGGUGCUACGUGGUUAGAACCUGAUCCAAUCAAUCAUUGCUUCGCUGAUGAAAAUUGGUCACAGGAGUGGCUUGGCCUCGUCAUUUGGAGUCCGUUUCUCAGUUGAUGGCAGUGCUUAACUUUCUUUCUGCUGUUCCUGCUUGUACAUGUGUCAAAUAAACUGCAUAGAAUCCCCUUUCUUACUGGCUGUAAGAAGGGGAAGUCUAACAGGGGUUUGUGUUCUGUGAGAGUCGCUUGAAACGGUACAUGGUCUGGAUGUUGAUUGAGUUUUGCACUGACAAGUUUUCUGUCAUUUGAUGCAACGUCAAGUCUGUGCGACUUACAGAAUAUUGCCCUCCCACGAAACUCUAGGAUCCUCUCCCUCUUAUCGUGAUUUGUCACUGGGGAGAGGCAUGUCACAUCCUUCUGUGCGGCUUAAUGUGGCGUUGUAAGGUGCCACAUGGUUAGAACCUGAUCCGAUCAAUCAUUGCUUCACUGAUGAAAAUUAGUCAGAAGGAGUGGCUUGGCCUGUUCCUAGGAGUUCGUUUCCCAGUCGAUGGCCCUGCUC